UGGGUUGUAAACUGCUUUGCCAGGGGCUAAAGGCCCAUGCGUGGGAAAUUGAAAGUACCUGGUGAAUAAGCCACGGCUAACUACGUGCCAGCAGCCGCGGUAAUACGUAGGUGGCAAGCGUUGUCCGGAUUUAUUGGGUUUAAAGGGUGCGUAGGCGGCUUAUUAAGUCAGUGGUGAAAUAUCGCAGCCUAACUGUGAGGGUGCCAUUGAUACUGAUGAGCUUGAGUACAGAUGAGGUAGGCGGAAUUGACGGUGUAGCGGUGAAAUGCAUAGAUAUCGUCAAGAACACCUAUAGCGAAGGCAGCUUACUAAGCUGUAACUGACGCUGAGGCACGAAAGUGUGGGGAUCAAACAGGAUUAGAUACCCUGGUAGUCCACACUGUAAACGUUGAUAACUCGCUGUUUGCGAUACACAGCAAGCGGCCAAGCGCAAGCGAUAAGUUAUCCACCUGGGGAGUACGCCGGCAACGGUG
This 473-nucleotide ribosomal RNA is filed under the name uncultured Bacteroidota bacterium. RNAcentral's name for it is "bacterial SSU rRNA". It matches the Rfam family "Bacterial small subunit ribosomal RNA", at positions 419 to 896 of the family's 1533-position model. Lineage: Bacteria; Pseudomonadati; Bacteroidota. The record is from RNAcentral.